CCCACUUUAAGGGCUAGAGCAGGCAGCCAGCAGGUGCCUGAUUAGGGUGGCCAUUUUAAUGCCCAGCUCUCAAGGCUGGGGCAGGAGUUUACUGCCAGCCAGCAAGGGAGAAACAUCACCUGGCUCAGCUAAUGCUCUAGGAACAUCUCAGAGUUUCUUUAAGAUUAAGCAAGAUGUACAGUGGACGCUUAUGUGGUUUCUUCCUCACAUGGCAAGAUCCAGUGAAGGGGCUUGCAUUGCGUUAUUGCCACUUGAGCCACCCGUGGACUAUGCUCCGUCUGAACUGAGGAGGCGUACUGUGCAUCAGUUAUUCCACCUGCAUUUCACUGGAUGCUCCACCUGAAUAUUCCUGCAUGCCCCCGAUGGUGAAGAGGGGCAGUUGACAUUUUGACAAGCUUCCUGACAUUGUAUUAGCAUUACGCCAUCUCUGUUACCGAGAGCUCAAGGAUAGAUCCAUCCACUGUGUUGUCAAGACCUUCUAGUUCCGUGUCCUUUCUGGACGAAAAUAAAAACCCCAUUUGUCCAUAAAUCUGACAGAUGGUGGCAUCCUUUACCUCUCCCUGUACCAGGCUAGAGAGCUUAAGCUACAGGGAAUACUUGUCCCCUCAAAGGGCAGGCUCUGGGAACAUGGUCUGCUCUUCUUUGUGGAGUGUCUGCAUCAGAGAUCGCAGCAAAUCAUGUCUACUUUCUCCUGGGGCUUCUCAGCUACUCUGAGACUACACUGGCUGUAGGCUUUGCUGAAUUGGAACACACCCGUAUUUGAACUGCAUUAGUCCCAAGGUCCUAUAGUAAAGGGGAACUGGCAAUACACUUGUGCUGUGAAGCAACUCCUGUGGCUGGGCCUGUAUCAGAACUAGGGCAGACCUUGCAAUAAAGUUUAACUCACUGGCAACUGCAGCUAGAAAUAGGCCCUUGAUUUAGCCCUGCCCAGGCAGCUCAAGACUCUUUCCCCAAGCCUAACUUCUGUAACACAACUUUUCCCCUUUAUGUUUGUGCUCCAAAUUAUCCAGAAAGAUUCCUUUGCCACUUCUACACUGUGAUCAGAACUGGUUAAACCAAACAAAGGCAAAAGCACCUUACCUGUACCUCCACCAACAUACACCUUCUUUCUAGCACAAGAGAAGGGGAACAGAAUCUAGCCCUUAGUUAGUAGAUCUUAGGCACGUUUCCCACCUUCCCAAAGAGUGCAUCUACAAUAGAUUUACAGGCAGCUGCACCAACGCAUUUCAAAGUCACCCUUGUACUAUAAGGAGAGUUCCUCAAGAGACUCCAAAGGUCAUAGCUUUCUUUUUUUUCCAGGCUGUUGGCACUUCAGGUUUUUAUACUGUGACUGGAAUUUACAACAGUAUGGAAAUACCUGAGCGGACAGGGAAACAACCCAGUGAGUUAGUGUUGAAAUGGGCUAGGGAGGUAAUGACACCACUGACUGUCCUGUAAUUAAGCACCGCAAUUAAGGUUUAUUUGGCACAGAAGGUCCCAAGCACUAAGCAUGUGGAAAUAAUAUAAUCCUUGUGUUAUUCCAGGGCUCAUUUAAGAACCCAUGGCAGACACAGUCCGCUUGGCAUUGCAAAUCAAACCAGUGAAUUAUAAUCACACACUUUGGAUUCAGGCUGAAAUGCAGUCCUGCCUGUGUAUCUGAGGGAACUGGGCCCAAUCUCAUAGGAAGAGAAACUCACCUUCCUCUGGGGCCGGUUUACAGCAACAAUUUCCCAUUGUUACCACUGCCCAGUGAAGGAGCCAUGCAAGAAGUUCUUACUGCCACAUCAAUGUCUGCUUGGUCCCCGGGGACAGGGCUGCGUUAACCCUUCAGUGAGCCCGAGGCAAACAAACUCAUGGGCCCCUACUUAAUACUGUAUACUUAAGUUAUUAAAAUGGAGUGAAAAAAACGAUGUAAAAUAACAUAAGCGACUGGUCCGGGGUCUGACAGCCGACACUGAAGCUGUCAGCAGGGCUGGUGCCCCUGCUGACAGGGCCGCCACCCUCAGCGGGUGCCCCUCCAGAUUCAGGCGGCCCCCGUCACUCAUGUAAAAUAAGCACCCCUGCACCCUUCUGCACCCUAUCCCUGUUAACCAGGCCCUGCUUGGGGACUACACACAGCGCAGCAGGCUGUGCGCUUGGGGCUCCCAGGACUCUGCCAGACUCAGGUCAUCUGCAGGGAACCUCUUAAAGACAGUGUCGCCCCGAGCAGGGGGGAGCCUCGUGCUGCAUGAAGCCCAUGAGCUGGCUGUUACGAGGCAGGGAUCAGCCUGUCCCCCACCGCAGGUUUCUUCCCCGGGGGAAGAGCUAGAG
Long non-coding RNA from Alligator mississippiensis (American alligator), 2289 nucleotides. RefSeq lists it as uncharacterized. NCBI's taxonomy places the organism in Eukaryota, Metazoa, Chordata, Crocodylia, Alligatoridae. The record is from RefSeq and is a predicted model, not a curated record. The transcript has 4 exons.